GACGAACGCUGGCGGCGUGCUUAACACAUGCAAGUCGAACGGAAAGGCCCUGCUUUUGUGGCGUGCUCGAGUGGCGAACGGGUGAGUAACACGUGAGUAACCUGCCCUUGACUUUGGGAUAACUUCAGGAAGCUGGGGCUAAUACCGGAUAGGAGCUCCUGCUGCAUGGUGGUGGUUGGUAAGUUUCGGCGGUUGGGGCUGGACUCGCGGCUUAUCAGCUUGUUGGUGGGGUAGUGGCUUACCAAGGCUUUGACGGGUAGCCGGCCUGAGAGGGGGACCGGCCACAUUGGGACUGAGAUACGGCCCAGACGCCUACGGGAGGCAGCAGUGGGGAAUAUUGCACAAUGGGCGGAAGCCUGAUGCAGCAACGCCGCGUGCGGGAUGACGGCCUUCGGGUUGUAAACCGAUUUCGCAUGUGACGAAGCGUGAGUGACGGUAAUGGGUAAAGAAGCAACGGCUAACUACGUG
This 468-nucleotide ribosomal RNA is filed under the name uncultured bacterium. Its description in RNAcentral is "partial 16S ribosomal RNA". It matches the Rfam family "Bacterial small subunit ribosomal RNA", at positions 28 to 507 of the family's 1533-position model. The record is from RNAcentral.